ACAUUGGUGCUAUGAUCAACACUAAGCUGAAAUGCAGUCAAAGUGGGUAGUGAAUUCUUUCUUUCACAUUCAUCAGUCUCCAGAUCAUGCAAUGUUUCCUCAUUGAUCCUCUCCAAGUCCUGUCUACUCUUCCCCAGCCAAUAAUCUGGCUCUGCUUUUUGGGCUAACACUGCUCGACUAUCACCCACAUUCAUCACAUACACAUCUUCUCCCUUCAUUAACAUCACAAGCACACA
RNAcentral lists this unclassified non-coding RNA (236 nucleotides) under Hevea brasiliensis (rubber tree). Lineage: Eukaryota; Viridiplantae; Streptophyta; Magnoliopsida; Malpighiales; Euphorbiaceae. The record is from RNAcentral.